This 253-nucleotide ribosomal RNA is filed under the name Lachnospira eligens. Its description in RNAcentral is "partial 16S ribosomal RNA". It matches the Rfam family "Bacterial small subunit ribosomal RNA", at positions 524 to 776 of the family's 1533-position model. Lineage: Bacteria; Bacillati; Bacillota; Clostridia; Lachnospirales; Lachnospiraceae. The record is from RNAcentral.
UACGUAUGGAGCAAGCGUUAUCCGGAUUUACUGGGUGUAAAGGGAGUGUAGGUGGCCAUGCAAGUCAGAAGUGAAAAUCCGGGGCUCAACCCCGGAACUGCUUUUGAAACUGUGAGGCUGGAGUGCAGGAGGGGUGAGUGGAAUUCCUAGUGUAGCGGUGAAAUGCGUAGAUAUUAGGAGGAACACCAGUGGCGAAGGCGGCUCACUGGACUGUAACUGACACUGAGGCUCGAAAGCGUGGGGAGCAAACAGG